Molecule: transfer RNA, 73 nt
Filed under: Salmo salar (Atlantic salmon)
Lineage: Eukaryota; Metazoa; Chordata; Actinopteri; Salmoniformes; Salmonidae
Rfam family: tRNA
About the family: Transfer RNA (tRNA) molecules are approximately 80 nucleotides in length.
Source: Rfam by way of RNAcentral
UUCCCUGUAGCUCAGUUGGUAGAGCAUGGUGUUUGCAACGCCAGGGUUGUGGGUUCGAUUCCCACGGGGGGAC